AAAGGCAAUAAUAUGGUUUGUUUUUCACAUUUAGGUGAAACAUCAAGGACCCUUACACUGCAUUAAAAAUUGCUAGAUGCACCAGAGUUUCUAUUUAACUCUCAGAUUAAUGCUUUUAGUUGUCCUCUAAAUUAAUUAUCAAACCAUGAUAUCUCUACUGUUAGUAAACUCCACUCAAUUUUUAAAUCAAACUAUACCUCAGUCUACACUGGGCAUAUUAAUGAGUUUCUCAUUACAAAGGGAUUUAUCAGGCCCAUUAGUAUGUAUAAAAAAAUGUGCUUCACCACAAUACUUGGGCUGAAAAAAUCUUAGGUUUUUUUAAUUUAUUAUCAUGAAAAGCACCAAAUGCUAAAAUGGCUAUUUUUAGAUGGUAAGACAAAAGUCAAUGGCAACAACGCUUGCAUUAUCUUUGCACUAAAAAAGAGAUGAGCAAGAGAUAAAUUUUCUUUUUGUUUACCAAGAAAAAGAUGUGGGGAAAUUAUUAUGGAUUAAUUAAUUUAGUGUGGACAGAUGAGCAAGAAAUGAAAUGGCAAAUGAAAUAAAAGCUGCUUUGAAAGAUGUUGGUGUGCCUAUUCUUAAAGAAAAUAUAUUGUUUACAACAGCAAAUAAUCUAAGAAUCUGUGAGAUUACCCAUAGCCUAUUAGAAUAAUUAUGGAAUUAUGGAUGAUGCUGAGAUUAUAUAAUUAUUCUUUAAUUGUGAUACUAUUUUACAUUUCCUUAAAUGUAUUUUAAUUUUAUUUGAUUUGAUUUGCUGAUGUCUAAGUGAUGAUUGUAAAUAUGCUAUUUUAUUUCCAAAAAAAACAACAACAAACAUUUGUUGCAAUAAAAAAAUCUAUUUUGAUUAAUAAUCAACCCAUAAAAUAGAAUAUCUAGAUAUUUUUCUUAUAUAAAAUCAUGCAUUAGGUAUUAAUAUUUAGAAUGCAUCUAUUCUUUUCAUAAUAUUAAUUAUGUUCUUCAUUAACUUGUGUUGCAGAUUUGAUAUAGAUUUAAAAAUUAUUUACUUCAUUCUUCAAAAAUUACUUAAAAUCAAAGCAUUACUUUUCAAUUUUGUAAAUAAUAUUUUCAGCAUAAUAAUUAAUUCAUACUUUAAAAGUAUAGAUACCAGACACUUAAAUAAAAAAAAAAUUCUCUUUCAAGAUUUAAAUCUUUCAAAAUGAAUUUUUAACAAACAUAAGUACUUUUCAAUUACAAAUAGUGUUUUACUAUAUAUUCAUUAAGAGUACACUUAUAUUUCUUUAAAUAAUAAUUAUUAAUCCUAUCAAUACAUUCAAAAUUGAUUCAAUGUUACAUGCAAUAAAGAGAAACUCAAAACAAAAUUAGAAAAAAAUUAGAUAAAUUGGCAGCACAAACAAAAAAAUACUCUUGACCUAUUUCCCAGUUUGAUUCAACUUCCGGUAGUGAACAGAAAUGACAUGGAUCUAAAAAAUCAAGACUUUCCCCCUCUCAAAUAAAAAUUAAUAUCUCCCCUUCCACUUGUCAUACAGUGAUAAAUUUAGUAUGGUUGGAAAUAUUUUUUCAAGCCCUAUUCAACCAUAUAGGUUUUAUUAGUAUAUUGCGAAUCAAAAAUUAGCGCUAUAAUGACACCCAUUACAACAAUGACAUUUGAUUAUGGAGGAACUGCUUAAACCAGGACGUUGGAAGUCAUAACUGGUUGCAGCAGUCAAUUUUGCUCAUGGUCCUGCUCUGGCUCAGCUACAUAAAGUUCAGGCUGCCUGACAUCUGCAAAGAGGGUGCAGCUUCAGUGAAUAAAACUUUCACCCCUGGAACGUUUUGUGCUAUGCCUGUGAAGGGGAAAGGUCACCAACACAAUCUCAGCCAAUCAGCAAGAGAUGUGCGGAAGAAUAACGGCUGUCGUUCUCCAAACAAAAAAAAAUGUUCAUCAAUAUCACAGUUCCUCUCUAACGUUGAGGCCAGCAUUCACCAGAACUCAAACCCUUAACCUUUGAACUGGAGCUGAUCACCUAACUACUUAAUCACACUGUCAUUAGAGCCAGUGUACAAUUUUAUUCUAGCCUAAUUAUAUUUUAUAUCUAUGUCUUUUUCUGUUGUUUUUUUUUCUGCUUAAUAGUUUAAUUAC
Molecule: long non-coding RNA, 2077 nt
Organism: Biomphalaria glabrata
Lineage: Eukaryota; Metazoa; Mollusca; Gastropoda; Planorbidae
Exons: 5
Source: RefSeq, a predicted model, not a curated record